GAUAGCUUGCUAGAGGCUCUUGGAGAUAGCGUUCCCCUAAUAGAAGACUAAGAAAGUUUCUAGGGCCCUUGAAACCCAUGCCAUGUGACUACGGACGAUGAUAUUUGUCGAGAGAUUGAAGUUAAAAAUGGUUAGUAAUUGUGAUAUUUGACUUGGUGAAAUCAUAGUGUGGUUGAGUUAAUGCAGAAUGGUGAGCCACUGAAGUAAACACAGAUACAGUAACAAUGGUAUAUUGGAGAAUGAGUGUUCCUUCCUGCACCUCCUUCAUCUCGUCCUACACCUCCAAAUUAUAAUUUAAUUCCUACUGUACCCCUAAUUCCUAUAAAGCUGACUUAUUCAUUGUUUUUAUAAAAAGUUACCUAACUUCGCCGC
Molecule: long non-coding RNA, 372 nt
Filed under: Vigna radiata
Lineage: Eukaryota; Viridiplantae; Streptophyta; Magnoliopsida; Fabales; Fabaceae
Description: long non-coding RNA (VRAD_LNC003173)
Source: RNAcentral